RNAcentral lists this ribosomal RNA (484 nucleotides) under uncultured bacterium. RNAcentral's name for it is "partial 16S ribosomal RNA". It matches the Rfam family "Bacterial small subunit ribosomal RNA", at positions 30 to 507 of the family's 1533-position model. The record is from RNAcentral.
AUUGAACGCUGGCGGCAGGCCUAACACAUGCAAGUCGAGCGGAUGAAGGGAGCUUGCUCCUGGAUUCAGCGGCGGACGGGUGAGUAAUGCCUAGGAAUCUGCCUGGUAGUGGGGGAUAACGUCCGGAAACGGGCGCUAAUAUCGCAUACGUCCUGAGGGAGAAAGUGGGGGAUCUUCGGACCUCACGCUAUCAGAUGAGCCUAGGUCGGAUUAGCUAGUUGGUGGGGUAAAGGCCUACCAAGGCGACGAUCCGUAACUGGUCUGAGAGGAUGAUCAGUCACACUGGAACUGAGACACGGUCCAGACUCCUACGGGAGGCAGCAGUGGGGAAUAUUGGACAAUGGGCGAAAGCCUGAUCCAGCCAUGCCGCGUGUGUGAAGAAGGUCUUCGGAUUGUAAAGCACUUUAAGUUGGGAGGAAGGGCAGUAAGUUAAUACCUUGCCGUUUUGACGUUACCAACAGAAUAAGCACCGGCUAACUUCGUG